AGCGAACGCUGGCGGCAGGCUUAACACAUGCAAGUCGAGCGGGCACUUUCGGGUGUCAGCGGCGGACGGGUGAGUAACGCGUGGGAACGUGCCCUCUGGUUCGGAAUAACGCAGGGAAACUUGAGCUAAUACCGGAUACGCCCUUUUGGGGAAAGGCUUGCUGCCGGAGGAUCGGCCCGCGUCUGAUUAGCUAGUUGGUGAGGUAACGGCUCACCAAGGCGACGAUCAGUAGCUGGUCUGAGAGGAUGAUCAGCCACACUGGGACUGAGACACGGCCCAGACUCCUACGGGAGGCAGCAGUGGGGAAUAUUGGACAAUGGGCGCAAGCCUGAUCCAGCCAUGCCGCGUGAGUGAUGAAGGCCUUAGGGUUGUAAAGCUCUUUUAUCCGGGACGAUAAUGACGGUACCGGAGGAAUAAGCCCCGGCUAACUUCGU
RNAcentral lists this ribosomal RNA (434 nucleotides) under uncultured bacterium. Its description in RNAcentral is "partial 16S ribosomal RNA". It matches the Rfam family "Bacterial small subunit ribosomal RNA", at positions 29 to 506 of the family's 1533-position model. The record is from RNAcentral.